Microcebus murinus (gray mouse lemur) is the source of this 300-nucleotide unclassified non-coding RNA. It matches the Rfam family "Metazoan signal recognition particle RNA". Rfam says of the family: The signal recognition particle (SRP) is a universally conserved ribonucleoprotein. It is involved in the co-translational targeting of proteins to membranes. The eukaryotic SRP consists of a 300-nucleotide 7S RNA and six proteins: SRPs 72, 68, 54, 19, 14, and 9. The record is from Ensembl. NCBI's taxonomy places the organism in Eukaryota, Metazoa, Chordata, Mammalia, Primates, Cheirogaleidae.
GCUAUGAGUGGUGGCACAUGCCUGUAGUCCCAGCUACUCGGGAGGCUGAGGUGAGAGGAUUGCUUGAGCCCAGGAAUUCUGGGCUAUAGUGUACUAUGCUGAUCAGGUGUCCACUCUUAAGUUUUGCAUCCAUAUGGUGACCUCUAGGGAGUGGGAGACCACCAGGUUGCCUAAGGAGAGGUAAACUGACCCAGGUCAGAAACAGAGAAGGUCAAAACUCCCGUGCUGAUUAGUAGUGGGAUCAUGCCUGUGAAUAGCCACUGCAUACCAGCCUAGGUGACAUAGCAAGACCCCAUCUCU